GCAACAUGCUCGCGUCGUGGUUCCCUGGGGCGUUCGCGCUCUGGGGCUAAGAUGGGAAUCCGGUGCGGUCCUUUGGACCUAUGCCGGAGCUGCCCCCGCAACUGUAAGCGGCGAGCCGACGUCCAAUACGUGUCACUGACCCGCCGAGCUUCAUCGGUGGCGGGUCGGGAAGGCCAGGACGACAGGCGCUGACCCGUGAGCCAGGAGACCUGCCCCGACAGAUAACGUCCU
This 231-nucleotide non-coding RNA is filed under the name Phenylobacterium sp. Root1277. The record is from RNAcentral. Lineage: Bacteria; Pseudomonadati; Pseudomonadota; Alphaproteobacteria; Caulobacterales; Caulobacteraceae. RNAcentral also lists the same sequence under 1 other name.